Molecule: long non-coding RNA, 649 nt
Filed under: Bos indicus x Bos taurus (hybrid cattle)
Lineage: Eukaryota; Metazoa; Chordata; Mammalia; Artiodactyla; Bovidae
Description: lncRNA (ENSBIXG00005030033.1)
Source: RNAcentral
AUGGAAGCAGACCUCCUGAGACCCCAGUGCCCUGCAGGGAAACUCUUUCCCCCGCCUCCCUCCCACUCAAAAGACCACGAUGCCCCAGGGCUCUGGCUGUUGAAAUGGGGGUCCGGAGGUGGUACCUGGGGCUCCUUUCACAUGGCCUGCGAGCGGUUAACUCUUUGCACCCUGCCCUGGCUUUGCAGCCGGGUCGCCACAGAGGAGCAAGUGGACGCCGGUGACUCCGUUUCCCUCAGAACUCCCGUCUGGGACCCUGCCACAGAGUCCUCCCAUCAGCUCAACUUUGGAACUGCGAUGGUCCCUGCUGGCAGAGGCUCAGAAGUAGCUUGUGGGGAAACUGCUGAAACAGAAGUGGUCCAGAGCGUCUGGGAAGCACCAGCUCCUAGUGGAAGGAGCUUCCAAGUGGGGUGAUAGACACACAGGUAGGAACUGAGGUCGUUGCUUUGGUCCAGGAGUGGGAGGACUGGCUUGAUCAGGAACAGUUUUGUUGGGCGGGAAGAUGCAGUGAGUCCAGGGACCCUGAGGGUGGCUGGCGGUAUAGCCUCCCUCUAAAAGCACUGGGAAGGGGGUCCCGUGGUUAGUGAGCCAGGCCAGGCCCCGGGCGCUGUGCAGAAGCAAAGAUCACACACGUGCCACGAUACGAGGA